Molecule: transfer RNA, 62 nt
Filed under: Ogadenus brumpti
Lineage: Eukaryota; Metazoa; Arthropoda; Arachnida; Ixodida; Argasidae
Also listed under: 1 other name
Description: tRNA-Leu
Source: RNAcentral
AUUAGCUUGGCAGAUUAAUUGUGUCAAAUUUAGAAUUUGGAAAUGUUUUAGAUCAGCUAAUA